ACAAGUCUGCACUAGGAAUUUCACCUAUGAAGAAAUCUCCUGCAUGCAGACGAGGGAACAGAUCAAAGCAGAAGGAAUUUGUUAGAUCUUUUCUUCUCUCUUCCCUUCUUUCUUUACUUUAGUAUUUCUUGUAUAUUCACACAAAAUGUAUUUCGUCACCAAAUUACUUCAUAUUUCUGACUGGACAUACUAUAGAAAACCAUCCAGAACAUGUGAACGUUGUAACACAUUGAGUGUGUUGAAUAUUUUCACAUAUUUCCUGCUAGUUUGUGUCGCUCGGGUGUUUUUCUAGCCUUGAGAACAAAAGAGAAAAGACAACAAAGAUGGAAGCCACGUCUUCUGGAAUAUUCUCAGCUCCACCAGGUCAAACACAGUGACGGACGAGGCGGGGUACGCUCUCGCCAUUUCAUUGGCCAGAGCACCGGUGCAACCUGGGGAUUGUUGAAGACACAGCGCAGACCUUUACAGCCACCGACAACGCAGCAGGCGGUGAGAAGUGGACGGGUGGCGAGUCCUCACCUCCCAGAUCCACGACCUUCUGGAAGCGGGAGAGGUCGAACGCCGUCACGACAUCGUGUCCGUCCAGAACCCAGUGACAGCUCAUGAUCCCCAUGAACUUCAGCAUCUCCUCCUCAGACCUGGGGAGGAAGUCAUUCUACUGUCACCCGCAAACUGGAGAUGAACCAGUGAAGCAUUUUAAGCAGUCAGAUGAGCACCAACCUGUAAAUAGCUUGGAAAAAGUGGCCAGAUGGAAAACCGAAGGUCUUUUCAUACUGGUUCUUCCCCUCCCUGCAGGACAUCAAGCUUGAAUGCGUUUCGUUCUCCCUGACUCGCAAAAGCAUUCACACCCCGUGAACUUUUUCACAUUUUAUCAUGCCACAACCACAUGGUUUCAUUUAAAGCUUCCCAAAAUAAAGGUUUGGAACCCGGUGUGGGUCAGGA
Long non-coding RNA from Poeciliopsis prolifica (blackstripe livebearer), 942 nucleotides. RefSeq lists it as uncharacterized. The record is from RefSeq and is a predicted model, not a curated record. Lineage: Eukaryota; Metazoa; Chordata; Actinopteri; Cyprinodontiformes; Poeciliidae. The transcript is spliced from 2 exons.